Molecule: long non-coding RNA, 524 nt
Organism: Alosa sapidissima (American shad)
Lineage: Eukaryota; Metazoa; Chordata; Actinopteri; Clupeiformes; Clupeidae
Exons: 3
Source: RefSeq, a predicted model, not a curated record
AGCGCGGCUGGAUUAGGGAGGAGACGGACGCCGGAGUUGGAUGGUAAACAGGGCCUGACGGAGUUUGAUCAGAUGGAGAGGGAGCGUGUUCACAAGUGCACAGGUCUCACCUCUUCGGCUAGCCAAUCAGGAAAAAGCGCACACAACGACCAUUUCAUUCCUGAACUGAGAUGGAGCAGUACGGAUGGAGAUGUAUUCAAUGAUUGCCUGACGGGCCGAGGACGGCAAAGAAUGGGACGUGGUGUUGGCGGACUGGACGUUUUGGAUGACGACCGGAUGUCUUGAAAGGGGCCAGGAUACAGACGGCCCACAGCAUGCUUAUCGACAGGCGGCUGUCAUUGCGCUGACAGUGUUUUCCAUCAGCAUGACUGACUUGUUGACAUUUGAGAAGGUUAAGCUACCUUGCCACAUUUCCCGGGCCCCGGCGUAGUCAUAAUCACUGGCUCGGAUGAAGCCGUGUGUCAGACGACUUCAAGACUCGAGGCUCCAAAGCAUCUCCCCCCCAUGUCAGUGGGACACACAAA